AAAUCCGCUUUGAUAAUGCUGGGAUGUGAUGGGGAGCGAAAUUUAGUAGCGAAGUAGCUGAUUUCACACUGUCAAGAAAAGUCUCUAUCGAGGUUAAAGGUACCCGUACCGCAAACCGACACAGGUGGGUGAGGAGAGUAUCCUAAGGCCAGCGAGAGAACUGUUGUUAAGGAACUCGGCAAAAUGACCCCGUAACUUAGGGAUAAGGGGUGCCACCAUCCGGUGGCCGCAGAGAAUAGGCCCAAGCGACUGUUUACCAAAAACAUAGGUUUCUGCUAAGUCGCAAGACGAUGUAUAGGAGCUGACGCCUGCCCGGUGCUGGAAGGUUAAGGGGAUCUGUUAGAGCAAUCGAAGCAGUGAACUUAAGCCCCAGUAAACGGCGGCCGUAACUAUAACGGUCCUAAGGUAGCGAAAUUCCUUGUCGGGUAAGUUCCGACCCGCACGAAAGGCGUAACGAUUUGGGCACUGUCUCAACAACAGACUCGGUGAAAUUGUAAUUCCGGUGAAGAUGCCGGAUACCUGCGACAGGACGGAAAGACCCCAUGGAGCUUUACUGUAGCUUGACAUUGGGUCUUGGUACUACAUGUACAGGAUAGGUGGGAGGCUUUGAAACCAGGACGCCAGUUUUGGCGGAGCCAUCCUUGGGAUACCACCCUUGUAGUACUGGGACUCUAACCAUAGGCCAUGAAUCUGGUCUUGGGACACUGUCAGGUGGGCAGUUUGACUGGGGCGGUCGCCUCCCAAAAGGUAACGGAGGCGCUCAAAGGUUCUCUCAGUACGGUCGGAAAUCGUACGUAGAGUGUAAAGGCAAAAGAGAGCUUGAUUGCAAGACAUACAGGUCGAGCAAGGAUGAAAAUCGGACUUAGUGAUCCGGUGGUUCUGCGUGGAAGGGCCAUCGCUCAACGGAUAAAAGCUACCCUGGGGAUAACAGGCUUAUCUCCCCCAAGAGUCCACAUCGACGGGGAGGUUUGGCACCUCGAUGUCGGCUCAUCACAUCCUGGGGCUGUAGUAGGUCCCAAGGGUUGGGCUGUUCGCCCAUUAAAGUGGUACGCGAGCUGGGUUCAGAACGUCGUGAGACAGUUCGGUCCCUAUCCGUCGCAGGCGUAGGAAAUUUGAGAAGACCUGUCCUUAGUACGAGAGGACCGGGAUGGACGUACCUCUGGUGUACCAGUUGUUCUGCCAAGGGCAUGGCUGGGUAGCUAUGUACGGAAUGGAUAAGCGCUGAAAGCAUCUAAGCGCGAAGCCAACUUCAAGAUAAGAUUUCCCACCGCAAGGGUAAGACCCCAGAAAGACUAUCUGGUUGAUAGGUCGAAGGUGUAAGUGCAGCAAUGUAUUUAGCUUAUCGAUACUAAUAG
RNAcentral lists this ribosomal RNA (1355 nucleotides) under Clostridioides difficile. Its description in RNAcentral is "partial 23S ribosomal RNA". It matches the Rfam family "Bacterial large subunit ribosomal RNA", at positions 1538 to 2907 of the family's 2925-position model. Lineage: Bacteria; Bacillati; Bacillota; Clostridia; Peptostreptococcales; Peptostreptococcaceae. The record is from RNAcentral.